GCAGAGUAGGAAAGCGCGUGUUCAGUGCCGGCGGGACGGGGAGUUGUCCGCCGGACGAAAUGGCGAGCUUAUCGCAGACUCGCAUGCAGUGCGCUUUCCGCAUCCCGCUGC
RNAcentral lists this non-coding RNA (111 nucleotides) under human gut metagenome. RNAcentral's name for it is "THF riboswitch". It matches the Rfam family "THF (Tetrahydrofolate) riboswitch aptamer". Rfam says of the family: THF riboswitch presents a pseudoknot that joins P1-P2 and the loop of P3 and two THF binding. The record is from RNAcentral.